GACGAACGCUGGCGGCGUGCCUAAUACAUGCAAGUUGAGCGCUGAAGGUUGGUACUUGUACCGACUGGAUGAGCAGCGAACGGGUGAGUAACGCGUGGGGAAUCUGCCUUUGAGCGGGGGACAACAUUUGGAAACGAAUGCUAAUACCGCAUAAAAACUUUAAACACAAGUUUUAAGUUUGAAAGAUGCAAUUGCAUCACUCAAGGAUGAUCCCGCGUUGUAUUAGCUAGUUGGUGAGGUAAAGGCUCACCAAGGCGAUGAUACAUAGCCGACCUGAGAGGGUGAUCGGCCACAUUGGGACUGAGACACGGCCCAAACUCCUACGGGAGGCAGCAGUAGGGAAUCUUCGGCAAUGGACGAAAGUCUGACCGAGCAACGCCGCGUGAGUGAAGAAGGUUUUCGGAUCGUAAAACUCUGUUGGUAGAGAAGAACGUUGGUGGGAGUGGAAAGCUCAUCAAGUGACGGUAACUACCCAGAAAGGGACGGCUAACUACGUG
Molecule: ribosomal RNA, 497 nt
Filed under: uncultured bacterium
Lineage: Bacteria
Description: partial 16S ribosomal RNA
Rfam family: Bacterial small subunit ribosomal RNA
Source: RNAcentral